UUCUGGAUAGUGCAAAUGGUUAACACACUUGGCUGCUAACCAGUAAGUUUGAGGUUUGAAUCCAUACAGAAA
Molecule: transfer RNA, 72 nt
Filed under: Loxodonta africana (African savanna elephant)
Lineage: Eukaryota; Metazoa; Chordata; Mammalia; Proboscidea; Elephantidae
Rfam family: tRNA
About the family: Transfer RNA (tRNA) molecules are approximately 80 nucleotides in length. Their secondary structure includes four short double-helical elements and three loops (D, anti-codon, and T loops).
Source: Rfam by way of RNAcentral